RNAcentral lists this ribosomal RNA (251 nucleotides) under uncultured soil bacterium. RNAcentral's name for it is "partial 16S ribosomal RNA". It matches the Rfam family "Bacterial small subunit ribosomal RNA", at positions 26 to 287 of the family's 1533-position model. The record is from RNAcentral.
AGGACGAACGCUGGCGGCGUGCUUAACACAUGCAAGUCAAGGGGGCCCAGCAAUGGGCAACCGGCGAACGGGUGCGUAACACGUGAGCAACCUACCGAACUGUGGGGGAUAGCCGGCCUAACGGCCGAGUAAUACCGCAUACGCUCUCAGGGAGGCAUUUCUUUGAGAGGAAACCUACGGGACAGAUCGAGGGGCUCGCGGCCUAUCAGCUAGUUGGCGAGGUAACGCUCACCAAGGCAACGACGGGUAGC